Molecule: ribosomal RNA, 450 nt
Filed under: uncultured bacterium
Lineage: Bacteria
Description: partial 16S ribosomal RNA
Rfam family: Bacterial small subunit ribosomal RNA
Source: RNAcentral
GUGGGGAAUAUUGGACAAUGGGCGAAAGCCUGAUCCAGCCAUGCCGCGUGUGUGAAGAAGGUCUUCGGAUUGUAAAGCACUUUAAGUUGGGAGGAAGGGCAGUAAGUUAAUACCUUGCUGUUUUGACGUUACCAACAGAAUAAGCACCGGCUAACUUCGUGCCAGCAGCCGCGGUAAUACGAAGGGUGCAAGCGUUAAUCGGAAUUACUGGGCGUAAAGCGCGCGUAGGUGGUUCAGCAAGUUGAAGGUGAAAUCCCUGGGCUCAACCUAGGAACUGCUUUCGAAACUGCGCAUCUGGAGUGAUGGAGAGGAGAGCGGAAUUCCCGGUGUAGAGGUGAAAUUCGUAGAUAUCGGGAGGAACACCAGUGGCGAAGGCGGCUCUCUGGCCAUUGACUGACGCUGAGAUGCGAAAGCGUGGGGAGCAAACAGGAUUAGAUACCCUAGUAGUCC